This 728-nucleotide ribosomal RNA is filed under the name uncultured bacterium. RNAcentral describes it as "bacterial SSU rRNA". It matches the Rfam family "Bacterial small subunit ribosomal RNA", at positions 54 to 828 of the family's 1533-position model. The record is from RNAcentral.
CAUGCAAGUCGCGCGGCCAGCAAUGGCAGCGGCGGACGGGUGAGUAACGCGUAGGAAUGUGUCCAGAGGUGGGGGACAACCCCGGGAAACUGGGGCUAAUACCGCAUAUGUCCUGAGGGACAAAACAGUAAUGCGCCUUUGGAGCAGCCUGCGUCCGAUUAGCUUGUUGGUGGGGUAAUGGCCUACCAAGGCUGCGAUCGGUAGCUGGUCUGAGAGGAUGAUCAGCCACACUGGGACUGAGACACGGCCCAGACUCCUACGGGAGGCAGCAGUGGGGAAUAUUGGACAAUGGGCGCAAGCCUGAUCCAGCAAUGCCGCGUGUGUGAAGAAGGUCUUCGGAUCGUAAAGCACUUUCGACGGGGACGAUGAUGACGGUACCCGUAGAAGAAGCCCCGGCUAACUUCGUGCCAGCAGCCGCGGUAAUACGAAGGGGGCUAGCGUUGCUCGGAAUUACUGGGCGUAAAGGGCGCGUAGGCGGCUUGGCCAGUCAGGCGUGAAAUUCCUGGGCUUAACCUGGGGACUGCGCUUGAUACUGCUGAGCUUGAGGCCGAGAGAGGGUGGUGGAAUUCCCAGUGUAGAGGUGAAAUUCGUAGAUAUUGGGAAGAACACCGGUGGCGAAGGCGACCACCUGGCUCGGUACUGACGCUGAGGCGCGACAGCGUGGGGAGCAAGCAGGAUUAGAUACCCUGGUAGUCCACGCCCUAAACGAUGUGUGCUGGAUGUUGGGG